AUGGCGGCGGCGGCGGCGGAGGGUCCCGGCGACGACGGGCUCCGAAAGUUGGAGUACCUGUCGCUCGUCUCCAAGGUCUGCUCGGAGCUGGAGACGCACAUCGGUGUAGGCGACAAGGUUCUGGCUGAGUUCAUUACCGAGCUCGGCCGCGACGCCCCCUCGGUCGCCGAUUUCGACGCCAAGCUCAAGGCCAACGGCGCCGACCUCCCCGACUACUUCGUCCGCACGCUCCUCACCAUCAUCCACGCCAUCCUCCCGCCGCCCUCCCAUAACCCUAGCUCCGCCGCCUCGCAGUCCAACUCCAAGUACCGCGCGCUCUCGCGCCCGGACGACGCAGAUCGCGCCCGCGAGCUCCGCCUCGAGCUUGAGCGUGAUGCCAAUGCCGCAGCGGCGACCACCCCUGCCCCUUCCAGGGACCGCAGUCGCGAUGACCGCUCUCGGGACCGUGACCAUGACCCCAAGCGUGAUGAACCACGCGGACGGGAUCGUGACCAUGACCGCAGUCGUGACAGAGACCGCGGGCGUGGUGAUCGCAGCCAUAACCGUGACCGUGCACAUGAUGACCGUGGCCAGGAUCGUAACCAUGACCGAGGUCGUGAACAUGAUAAUGGCUGGGACAGGGAUCGAGACCGUCGUCGCGACAGAGUCCGGGAGGGAGAUCGGGAUGGUAAUGGUCGGAGGGAUCAGGACCGCCUCCAGCAAAGGGACAGGGAUACAGGCAAGGCCCAUGGAAGGAGCAGGAGGUAUGUGGAUGAGGAGGAGGGACAGCAGGAAAGGGCUGGAAGAAGGAAGAUGGAGAAUACCAUGACAAAUUCAAGUGGCGAGCCUGAGCUUUACCAGGUGUACCGGGGGAGGGUGACCCGUGUAAUGGACACCGGUUGCUUUGUCAAGCUUGAGGAUGUUCGUGGUGGCUGUGAGGGGCUUGUUCAUGUAUCGCAGAUGGCAAGCAGACGGGUAGCCAAUGCAAAGGAGGUGGUGAAGCGCGAUCAGGAGGUGUUCGUGAAGGUAGUUUCGGUAAAGGGAGAUAAGUUGAGUCUCUCACUGAGAGAUGUGGAUCAGGAUACAGGAAAGGACCUUCUGCCAAUGCAGCGUGGUGUGGAGGAUGCACCAAGGACUAACCCAUCUGUUGGUAGUGCUGCUGCUGCUGGGCCUGGAAGGAGGUUGGGUCUAUCGGGGAUUGUGAUUACAGAGGAGGAUGAGGUUGCACCCAUCUCGCGGCGUCCCCUCAAGCGGAUGAGCUCACCAGAGAGGUGGGAGGCGAAGCAGCUAAUUGCUUCGGGUGUUCUUGAUGUGAGGGAUUACCCACAGUUUGAUGAGGAUGGCGAUGGAAUGUUGUAUCAGGAGGAAGGCGCAGAGGAGGAGUUGGAGAUUGAGCUUAAUGAGGAUGAACCAGAGUUCUUGCAGGGACAGAGCAGAUUCUCAAUUGACAUGUCACCUGUUAAGAUUUUCAAGAAUCCAGAGGGUUCAUUAAGUCGAGCAGCAGCUCUCCAGACUGCUCUCAUCAAGGAGCGCCGUGAGGUUAGAGAACAAGAGCAGAGAGCAAUGCUGGACUCGAUACCCAAGGAUCUGAAUAGGCCAUGGGAGGACCCAAUGCCCGACACAGGCGAGCGACACCUUGCACAGGAGCUUAGAGGUGUUGGUCUAUCAGCUUAUGACAUGCCAGAAUGGAAGAAGGAAGCAUAUGGAAAAGCUUUAACGUUUGGGCAAAGGUCAAAGCUUUCAAUACAAGAUCAGAGGCAAACUCUUCCAAUAUACAAGUUGAAGAAAGAGUUGAUUCAAGCUGUGCAUGAUAAUCAAGUUUUAGUUGUUAUCGGAGAAACUGGCUCUGGAAAGACAACGCAGGUGACACAAUAUUUGGCUGAAGCCGGUUAUACCACAAGGGGUAAAAUUGGUUGUACUCAACCUCGUAGGGUGGCUGCAAUGUCUGUUGCAAAGAGAGUGGCAGAAGAAUUUGGCUGUCGACUGGGAGAAGAAGUUGGUUAUGCCAUUCGCUUUGAGGAUUGCACUGGCCCAGAAACUGUGAUAAAAUACAUGACCGAUGGAAUGCUUCUGCGUGAAAUUUUAGUUGAUGAGAACCUUUCCCAGUAUUCAGUAGUCAUGCUUGAUGAAGCGCAUGAAAGGACCAUCCACACAGAUGUUCUCUUCGGUUUGCUGAAGCAGCUUGUUAAGCGUAGACCUGACAUGAGGCUUAUUGUUACUUCUGCUACCCUUGAUGCUGAAAAGUUCUCUGGGUAUUUCUUCAACUGCAACAUCUUCACAAUUCCGGGAAGAACAUUCCCAGUGGAGAUACUCUACACCAAACAACCAGAAAGUGACUACUUGGAUGCUGCAUUGAUUACCGUGCUGCAGAUCCACUUGACAGAGCCAGAGGGUGAUAUCCUCGUUUUCUUGACUGGUCAAGAGGAGAUUGAUCAUGCCUGUCAAUGUUUAUAUGAGAGGAUGAAAGGGCUGGGAAAGGAUGUUCCUGAGCUCAUAAUUUUGCCUGUGUAUAGCGCUCUGCCUAGUGAAAUGCAGUCAAAGAUCUUUGAGCCAGCUCCACCUGGGAAGAGGAAGGUGGUCGUAGCCACCAAUAUUGCUGAAGCUUCUUUAACCAUUGAUGGCAUAUAUUAUGUCAUCGACCCUGGCUUCGCCAAAAUCAAUGUUUAUAAUUCAAAACAAGGGCUUGAUUCAUUGGUCAUCACUCCAAUCUCACAAGCAUCGGCAAAACAAAGAGCAGGGCGUGCUGGCCGUACUGGACCAGGCAAAUGUUAUCGUCUAUACACUGAAAGUGCUUACCGCAAUGAAAUGUCACCAACGACGAUUCCAGAAAUUCAAAGGAUCAAUUUGGGUUCUACAGUUCUUAAUAUGAAGGCAAUGGGGAUAAAUGACCUACUAUCGUUUGAUUUUAUGGACCCCCCAGCACCCCAAGCACUUAUCUCUGCUAUGGAACAGCUUUACAGCCUUGGCGCUCUUGAUGAGGAGGGCCUUCUUACCAAACUGGGCAGAAAAAUGGCUGAAUUUCCACUGGAUCCACCACUUUCAAAGAUGCUACUAGCUAGCGUCGACCUUGGAUGCAGUGAUGAGAUACUGACUAUUAUAGCGAUGAUUCAAACGGGGAAUAUUUUCUAUAGGCCUAGAGAAAAACAGGCUCAAGCUGAUCAGAAAAGGGCCAAAUUUUUCCAGCCAGAGGGAGAUCAUCUUACUCUACUUGCUGUAUAUGAGGCUUGGAAAGCAAAGAACUUUUCAGGGCCCUGGUGCUUUGAGAACUUUGUUCAGUCAAGAUCGCUAAGGAGGGCACAAGAUGUCAGAAAGCAGCUUCUAACUAUCAUGGACAGGUUCGCUAAAAAACACUGUAGUGUUGUAUACAAAAACAUUUCACAAUGGGAAUUAGUGAAGAUGGUUGUGCUUUUUCGGAGACCUAUCCAUGGCUUGUUUCAUUGUGUUUUUGUUAUCAAAUGUUCAGACAACCUGCUUUCACUUCAUAUCCAAUGCUGGAGAUAUAAGUUGGAUGUUGUUGCUGCUGGGAAGAACUUCACGAAAAUAAGGAAAGCAAUCACUGCCGGCUUCUUUUUCCAUGCUGCCAGGAAAGAUCCCCAGGAAGGAUACAGAACCUUGGUGGAGAACCAGCCAGUGUACAUUCACCCAAGCAGUGCGCUGUUCCAGCGCCAACCAGAUUGGGUCAUUUACCACGAGCUUGUAAUGACGACCAAGGAGUAUAUGAGGGAGGUGACCGUGGUUGACCCGAAAUGGUUAGUGGAGUUAGCGCCAAGAUUCUACAAGGGCGCAGAUCCAACCAAGAUGAGCAAGAGGAAGCGACAGGAAAGGAUUGAGCCUCUGUACGACAGGUACCACGAGCCCAACUCAUGGCGUCUCAGCAAGCGCCGAGCUUGA
This 3870-nucleotide ribosomal RNA is filed under the name Triticum aestivum (bread wheat). RNAcentral's name for it is "partial small subunit ribosomal RNA". Lineage: Eukaryota; Viridiplantae; Streptophyta; Magnoliopsida; Poales; Poaceae. The record is from RNAcentral.